Molecule: ribosomal RNA, 429 nt
Filed under: Verrucomicrobiota bacterium
Lineage: Bacteria; Pseudomonadati; Verrucomicrobiota
Description: Verrucomicrobia bacterium partial 16S ribosomal RNA
Rfam family: Bacterial small subunit ribosomal RNA
Source: RNAcentral
UAGGGAAUCUUCGGCAAUGGGGGGAACCCUGACCGAGCAACGCCGCGUGAGUGAAGAAGGUUUUCGGAUCGUAAAGCUCUGUUGUUAAGGAAGAACGAGUGUGAGAAUGGAAAGUUCAUGCUGUGACGGUACUUAACCAGAAAGGGACGGCUAACUACGUGCCAGCAGCCGCGGUAAUACGUAGGUCCCGAGCGUUGUCCGGAUUUAUUGGGCGUAAAGCGAGCGCAGGCGGUUAGAAAAGUCUGAAGUGAAAGGCAGUGGCUCAACCAUUGUAGGCUUUGGAAACUGUUUAACUUGAGUGCAGGAGAGAAAAGUGGAAUUACUAGUGUAGCGGUGAAAUGCGUAGAGAUUAGGAGGAACACCGGUGGCGAAAGCGGCUUUUUGGCCUGCAACUGACACUGAGGCGCGAAAGCGUGGGGAGCAAACAGG